This 75-nucleotide antisense RNA is filed under the name Embleya hyalina. Its description in RNAcentral is "ASpks TB sRNA". It matches the Rfam family "ASpks TB sRNA". Lineage: Bacteria; Bacillati; Actinomycetota; Actinomycetes; Kitasatosporales; Streptomycetaceae. The record is from RNAcentral.
UUUGACCGAACCCAGCCACAGGGGGCGAUCCGCCGGCCGGUCCCGGCCGUAGGUGGCCAACAGGGCCUGUGCCUC